Molecule: long non-coding RNA, 1409 nt
Organism: Panicum virgatum (switchgrass)
Lineage: Eukaryota; Viridiplantae; Streptophyta; Magnoliopsida; Poales; Poaceae
Exons: 3
Source: RefSeq, a predicted model, not a curated record
CAUCGACAAUCAAAAUCAAGCACAGUCAGCAGAGUCGAGUCGGAGAUUCUCGACCUUUCGCGAUACCUGUCGGCAGCACCAAACAGCCAACGCUCUUGCGCCAGAGAUCUUGCGCCCCCCUCCCCCCGCGAUCUUCACCCACGAUCUGCAAGCAGAAUCCCUGUUUGAAAUAAAAAGGACUCUGUAAGCAUUUAUGGUGGCUAAGCAACAAUCAAAUUCCAAAAGUUUAGCGGAACAUACGCCGGGUAGAGCCCAUAAAGACGUAGGGCCAUAGGGGGCAUCGACACACACUAUGCACAGCAACUGCUCAAAGAAAUGCCUCCAAGGUAAGUGCUCAAGUAUCUUGUGUUUUCAGAAGUUUUAGCGGACUAGAACUUGUAGAGCUCAUUUAGCAUGAAACAUGGAAAUGUGACUCUGAUUCAAGAGAGUAUGAUGCAACAUCCAAGACAUUCUAACGCCAUGAAAGGUAUGUUCUUAUGUUCAGUACUUCAGUUACCAAUUGCACUCUUUACUUUCAUAUAGGUAUGAAUUCGAAACUUAUAAACAUCAUAGCUGCCAGCUUUGCCUUGCUCCCUUGGGUAGCUAGACAAUGUGAAUUUGAUUUAAUAUGUACAUAUAUAUUCAGUGAAAGCUGAUUGGGGCAUCAUAACGUUUUACUCCAGUUCUAGGCAACACUUAUGUACUACUGUUCAUGUAGGAAAUCUCCCAUCUAUAUCUAUCAACUAAUGAAAUGAAGGUCUUGCUUACUACUUCCUACUUACCUGAUUUCCAAAUGUAACAUUCCAUAUCCAAGUAUCAGACCACUUGUUAGAAUGCAGAAUUAUUAGGAUUCUUAUCAAACAUUUGUACACAAUAGAGAUUGCCAAAUCGAUUAGCACAUUGCUUUCUUAGGAUUUGACUAGCACAUGUUGAGUAUUUACAAGCUGCCAAAUAUUGCCAAACCCACCAAGGUCAAGCUUUGGCAGUAUUGUUCUUGCUCUCAUAUGGCAUUUCCAAAGUUGAACUUGAUUAAUUUUCGAAAAAAAAGUUGAACUUGAGAAGUCAGUCUUUUCAGUUACAAGUAGCCUUCUGAACUUGCAUAUGGUAUUUCUACGUACAGGCUAUUCAUUCUCUAAGUCUUGGUUUUGACAUAGGAAAUAGAGGUUGAACGGCAACAAAGUUUCUCGAUUGAAAUUCCAAAGUGGGAAUUGGAGUACUUUCACAAAAAUAGGCAUACCCAUGAUUUUGUGGAUGGUUGAUCCCUAUGACAGCUCCUUAUGUAAAUGUUGCAUGAGUUGUAAUAUCUCUUCUCUAAAGUCAAAUUUUGAGAUGUCUGCUAGAUUUGUAGUAAUGUUUCUUCCUUCAAAAGUUUCGGGAUACUGUCAACAUGUUUUUGAGCUAGAGGUAGCUAUCUCGAUCAGUAGUCAAAA